CAGUCGCCACGGUAAUACGUAGGUGGCAAGCGUUGUCCGGAAUUAUUGGGCGUAAAGGGCUCGCAGGCGGUUACUUAAGUCUGAUGUGAAAGCCCCCGGCUCAACCGGGGAGGGUCAUUGGAAACUGGGAAACUUGAGUGCAGAAGAGGAGAGUGGAAUUCCACGUGUAGCGGUGAAAUGCGUAGAGAUGUGGAGGAACACCAGUGGCGAAGGCGACUCUCUGGUCUGUAACUGACGCUGAGGAGCGAAAGCGUGGGGAGCGAACAGGAUUAGAUACCCGGGUAGUCCCUGUCUCUUAUAU
This 301-nucleotide ribosomal RNA is filed under the name uncultured bacterium. RNAcentral's name for it is "partial 16S ribosomal RNA". It matches the Rfam family "Bacterial small subunit ribosomal RNA", at positions 509 to 809 of the family's 1533-position model. The record is from RNAcentral.